This 307-nucleotide ribosomal RNA is filed under the name uncultured Glomeromycotina. RNAcentral's name for it is "eukaryotic LSU rRNA". Lineage: Eukaryota; Fungi; Glomeromycota. The record is from RNAcentral.
UUUAGGAGAGUUUAAUAACCUUCGGUUUGCGGAAUCGUAUCUUUUCGAUGUAUUUUUUCGUACGGUUGGUUAACAUCGAUUUUGAACAUUAUAAAAUGAUCGGAGGAAUGUGGCUUCGAUCUCGUAUCGAAGUGUUAUAACCUUUGGUAAAUGUAAUGAUCAAGUUCGAGGAUUGCAACGGAUACCCUUUCGGGCUAUUCGUCUGAUCUCUGACACGUUGCUUUGGUAUCGAAAGCUUGCUUACGGUAUUGAGGUAUAACGAUCAAAAGGUUAGAACGGAUUUAAUUCGUUAAGGGAUGUUGACGUA